This is a non-coding RNA of Jatropha curcas, 226 nucleotides long. The record is from RefSeq and is a predicted model, not a curated record. NCBI's taxonomy places the organism in Eukaryota, Viridiplantae, Streptophyta, Magnoliopsida, Malpighiales, Euphorbiaceae.
GUAGAAAAUUAAUUCAAAACCAGGUAGCCAAAUCCAGUAUACUGUUUAAUUUUCAGAACCUGGAAUUAAGUAGCUGAAACAAAGAUCUAAUCCCACUUAAACAUGCAAAGCAAGUAGAAAAUUAAUUCAAAACCAGGUAGCCAACUUACCUAUUCCGUGAAAACACUCAUGAGAUCAUUAGGAUGAAAUUGCUGCAACACGGGCAUCCCUAUUCUUGCAUUAUCUG